GACGAACGCUGGCGGCGUGCCUAAUACAUGCCAGUCGAGCGAAGUUUUUCUGGUGCUUGCACCGGAAAAACUUAGCGGCGAACGGGUGAGUAACACGUAAAGAACCUGCCUCAUAGACUGGGACAACUAUUGGAAACGAUAGCUAAUACCGGAUAAUAGCAUUAACUGCAUGGUUGAUGUUUAAAAGUUGGUUUUGCUAACACUAUGAGAUGGCUUUGCGGUGCAUUAGCUAGUUGGUGGGGUAAAGGCCUACCAAGGCGACGAUGCAUAGCCGACCUGAGAGGGUGAUCGGCCACACUGGGACUGAGACACGGCCCAGACUCCUACGGGAGGCAGCAGUAGGGAAUCUUCCGCAAUGGGCGAAAGCCUGACGGAGCAACGCCGCGUGAGUGAAGAAGGAUUUCGGUUCGUAAAGCUCUGUUGUUAGGGAAGAAUGAGUGUGUAGUAACUAUACACAGUAGAGACGGUACCUAACCAGAAAGCCACGGCUAACUACGUG
This 499-nucleotide ribosomal RNA is filed under the name uncultured bacterium. RNAcentral describes it as "partial 16S ribosomal RNA". It matches the Rfam family "Bacterial small subunit ribosomal RNA", at positions 28 to 507 of the family's 1533-position model. The record is from RNAcentral.